This is a long non-coding RNA of Erinaceus europaeus (western European hedgehog), 1467 nucleotides long. RefSeq lists it as uncharacterized. The transcript is spliced from 2 exons. The record is from RefSeq and is a predicted model, not a curated record. NCBI's taxonomy places the organism in Eukaryota, Metazoa, Chordata, Mammalia, Eulipotyphla, Erinaceidae.
GGCUCCUCUGGCGCUCUUUCUCUCGACGUUCUAGCUCAGGCGCGGCGCCGGUAGGCCCUCUAUACAGCCAAGCUUGUUGUCUCAGGAUAUCCCGCCCCCUACUCAUUUCCCAGCGCCCUCCCCUCAGAAACCCGCUCCAUCAUCCCCCGGAAUUGCCACCCAAAGAAAAAGUAGCGCUAUCGCGAGAGGGGAAAACAAGGAAGCUCUGGGACCACCGAGGACUCCGCUCGCCAAGUGAACUGCCCGCUGCCCUUGUGCAGGGAGCAUGGCUUUCCUGAGGCGCAUCCGGACCCGGGCGCCCUUUUUCUCUGGCUGGGUCUCCAUUGGCUGAAGGCAUGGUGACGCCCCUCACUUCAAAUCCGAGGCCUAUACGCCCACUGAGAAGAUCUUCCAUUUUAUUUGCUUCUUGCUGGCUGCUGCAGCGGAGCAGUGACCCGCCUUCUGGGGUUGCAUCGAGUUUUGCCUAAUAACCUGCGUGGAUGGCGGAGUCGUCGGUCCCACAUGGUUCUCCAAGAAGGAAGAGGCCCGGCUCCAUUUGGAUCAGCCCCAUCACAGUUCAGCAUAAGCUCCUGGGGCAGGUGAAACUCACAUCUGGCUGCACAGAGCAUUUUAUUGUCAGAUGCACUUGAGCAGUCCCCUGACCUCAGCUUUCCUCCAAAGCCCGGAAGUCAGAAAGAUGCACUGAAAUAGAAUAAACGCCUGGUUAAGUGUACCAAAGGCUGCAGUGAGCCGCUAAUAUAAAUACUGGCCUUGGGGACAAGGCAUUUUACACACCCAGACUCAACAGUCACUUACUUCCCUUAUGGUUUACCUGUGCUCCCCACACAGCCUUGAAUGGUCUGGCUUUUUGUUUUGUCUCCUGCCUGAGGGAGGCCUGACAUGUUGCAAGGGUGAGGAGGUCCCAGGUGCUGCACUUGACUGGCAUUUCCUUUGCUUGUUAAAGUAAUUGCAACAUCCGCUGAUGACAAAGCCAGCAGUGCAGCAAGACAAAGCAACUGGAAUAAAGAAUUACAUCUUACUAUCUACCCCUUGGUAAAUAUGACUUUAAGACUCUUGAUUAGCCAACUUAUAGCCCCACUGUGUGCAUGAUAGACAGCUCAAAAGUGUUUCUUGCGUUUACAGAUAUUUUGUCUAUUCUCAGGACCCACCCCAAAGACACACGCGCGUGCACACACUAUGAUGAAUGAAGGAAGACAUCUUGGAGUCUUGUGAAUUUGGGGCAUUCCUUGUACUUUUUUUUUUCUUACCUCAGAAAGCCUGCUUCAGAUACGAUGUCAUUAGCUCUGAACUACAGAUUUAUUAAAGAAUAAUAAUUCAAUAUGUAUUUGCAAAUUUUCCUAAAUAUUCAGCACCCUAUAGAUAUGGUACUGUAAUUCAUGAAACAGUGCAGGGGGAGAAAAGUAGUUUUUUCUCUACUCUUCUGAGUUAUUAGCUGAAAACACUGUAAUAAAACACAAAACAAUGUUA